Long non-coding RNA from Coturnix japonica (Japanese quail), 1263 nucleotides. RefSeq lists it as uncharacterized. NCBI's taxonomy places the organism in Eukaryota, Metazoa, Chordata, Aves, Galliformes, Phasianidae. The record is from RefSeq and is a predicted model, not a curated record.
UCAGGCUGCGGGGCGAUGGGCGCCAUGUUGGGUGCCAUGUUGGGCGCUUCGUGCGUUGCCUCUGAGCGGUUUGCAGCGCUCCGACCCGGCUUCGAGGCUGUUGUGAAACAUCGCUACUCUGUGGCGAGGAAAAAGAGGCCUGUGCAUAUGUGGUGUGUGGCUGUGCGGCUCACCCGGGAAAGCCAAGUGUGUGUGUGGAACUGACAGAAAGCGGUGCUCGGUGUGUGGGAAGGAACCGAGCGCGGUUUGCUGUGAGGAGCAGCGCUGCUGCAAGGCCUGCACCACCACAACGAGAGAAAAUGUUGGAGCAGGCCAAGGGAAGGGCACAUGGUGUCCGACCUGUGAGAGCUGCGCUGUGUGUGUACAGCUGGGUCAAGGAGCUGCUGCAGUUGAUCGCCUCAGUGGCUGCCGUUAACCACAGCUCAUAGCCCUGAAAAGCUGCAAAUACACGGAGCGUUGUAGUGCAGGACAGGGAUCAGGCUGGGCUGGUUGCACAGUGAAGAACACGGAGGGCAGAGAGCUGCACAUGGAUUAAGGUCUCUGAAUUUACUGCCCUGCAAUCACCAACUUCCCACUCCACUGAGACGUCCCAGUAUGCACUGGGUUGUUGAUGUCAGUAACAUCACUGAUCGGCGCUGGAGCCGGGAAUCUGCCUAUGAGGAAAAGGGAGAAUGGCUGGACUCAGACUGCUGAUUUGAUUCCUCUAACACCCAGGACUUGGAUCACUGUCAUCAGAAUACUUCAGCCUCAUGCAGGACAGCUACUCUGUAGGAGUUAAACCUGAGCCACCCGUAGCCCUGGGUUGGUCACUCCUACUCAGGGUAGAAAUGCUGAGCUGUUCUGCGGUGCUACAUGGAUACUAGCAACGCUCAUUAUUUCAGUGUCUUGACCAAAUCCUAUUGUUCUAUACAGUGUAUUCUCAAUACAGCAAAUUCUCUUCAGCAGCAGCUGAAGAUGUUCAAAGUGCCAAGUUUUCCCCUUGUUCUGCUGUAACAGAAAAGCCUUGACUCAGCUUCCCAUGUGCACCCACAAGAACAUAAAUAACGGACAACCUGUCUGGUUCCUGUGAAAACCACUUAUCAAAAUCAAACAACUAAAAAGGACUGACCUUCAUACAUAUAUGAACACAAACAGAUGUGAAGAAAAGUUCUCCGGAUCUGUGUCAAAUUAAUAUAUAAGGAGAUCACAAUAAAAAUGAGAAGACAAUGAGAAAGACUCAUUUAACACAAUACAUGAGUGAAAAAUAAAGAGAAAUGCUUCUUA